ACAAGAUUAAAACUCAAAGGAAUAGACGGGGACCCGCACAAGUGGUGGAGCAUGUGGUUUAAUUCGAAGAUACGCGAAGAACCUUACCUAGCCUUGACAUUGAUAGAAUCUUCCAGAGAUGGAGGAGUGCCUUUCGGGGAACUUGAAAACAGGUGCUGCACGGCUGUCGUCAGCUCGUGUCGUGAGAUGUUGGGUUAAGUCCCGCAACGAGCGCAACCCUCGUCAUUAGUUACUAACAGUUCGGCUGAGGACUCUAAUGAGACUGCCUUCGUAAGGAGGAGGAAGGUGAGGACGACGUCAAGUCAUCAUGGCCCUUACGGCUAGGGCGACACACGUGCUACAAUGGUUAGGACAAUGAGAAGCGAUACCGCGAGGUGGAGCAAAUCUAUAAACCUAAUCUCAGUUCGGAUUGUAGUCUGCAACUCGACUACAUGAAGCUGGAAUCACUAGUAAUCGUAGAUCAGCCAUGCUACGGUGAAUACGUUCCCGGGUCUUGUACUCACCGCCCGUCACACCAUGGGAGUUGAUUUCACCCGAAGCGGGGAAGCUAAACUGGCUACCCUCCACGGUGGAAUUAGCGACUGGGGUGAAGUCGUAACAAGG
Molecule: ribosomal RNA, 603 nt
Filed under: uncultured bacterium
Lineage: Bacteria
Description: bacterial SSU rRNA
Rfam family: Bacterial small subunit ribosomal RNA
Source: RNAcentral